UACGUAGGGGGCAAGCGCUAUCCGGAUUUACUGGGUGUAAAGGGAGCGUAGACGGCACGGCAAGCCAGAUGUGAAAGCCCGGGGCUCAACCCCGGGACUGCAUUUGGAACUGCUGAGCUAGAGUGUCGGAGAGGCAAGUGGAAUUCCUAGUGUAGCGGUGAAAUGCGUAGAUAUUAGGAGGAACACCAGUGGCGAAGGCGGCUUGCUGGACGAUGACUGACGUUGAGGCUCGAAAGCGUGGGGAGCAAACAGG
RNAcentral lists this ribosomal RNA (253 nucleotides) under Dorea longicatena. Its description in RNAcentral is "partial 16S ribosomal RNA". It matches the Rfam family "Bacterial small subunit ribosomal RNA", at positions 524 to 776 of the family's 1533-position model. The record is from RNAcentral. Lineage: Bacteria; Bacillati; Bacillota; Clostridia; Lachnospirales; Lachnospiraceae.